AUUGAACGCUGGCGGCAUGCUUUACACAUGCAAGUCGAACGGCAACGAGGAGAAGCUUGCUUCUCUGUCGGCGAGUGGCGAACGGGUGAGUAUAGCAUCGGAACGUGCCAAGUAGUGGGGGAUAACCAAACGAAGGUUUGGCUAAUACCGCGUAAGCUCCAAGGAGGAAAGUAGGGGACCUAAAUAAGGCCUUACGCUAUUUGAUCGGCCGAUGUCGGAUUAGCUAGUUGGUGGGGUAAUGGCUCACCAAGGCAAUGAUCCGUAGCGGGUCUGAGAGGACGAUCCGCCACACUGGGACUGAGACACGGCCCAGACUCCUACGGGAGGCAGCAGUGGGGAAUUUUGGACAAUGGGGGAAACCCUGAUCCAGCCAUGCCGCGUGUAUGAAGAAGGCCUUAGGGUUGUAAAGUACUUUUGUUAGGGAAGAAAAGCUAGUUUUUAAUAAAAAUUAGUGAUGACGGUACCUAAAGAAUAAGCACCGGCUAACUACGUG
RNAcentral lists this ribosomal RNA (493 nucleotides) under uncultured bacterium. RNAcentral's name for it is "partial 16S ribosomal RNA". It matches the Rfam family "Bacterial small subunit ribosomal RNA", at positions 30 to 507 of the family's 1533-position model. The record is from RNAcentral.